AUGGGCGCGUGCAACUCGUGCGAGGCGACGGCCGUGGCGGCGGUCACGGGGGCCUCCGCGGUGGGCGAGGCCACGGCGGCAAGGGUCGUGCUCGCGGACGGCCAGCUGCAGCGGUUCCCCGGGGGCACCCGGGCGUCGCAGGCCAUGAAGGCCGCGGCGGCUCCCGCGGGCGCGUGCUUCCUGUGCAGCGCCGACGGGCUCGAGCUCGGCGGCGCGGUGGCCGCGGUGGUGGGCGACGAGGAGCUGCAGCCCGGGCAGCUCUACUUCGUGCUGCCCGCGGCGAUGCGGCGGCGGGCGCUGCAGGCGGAGGAGAUGGCCGCGCUCGCGAUCCGCGCCAGCGCCGCGCUGGCCGGCGACCACGACGGCCCGCUCGUGUUCCCCGACUCGGCCAGUGGCGCCCCCGCGGCGAGGAGCGGCGCGAAGGGCGGGUCCCGCCGGCGGUCGCGGAGGGCGCCCAGCCUCGGGCGCGACUUCGUGCCGGAUCUCGGCGCCAUUGCCGAGUAG
This 504-nucleotide ribosomal RNA is filed under the name Triticum aestivum (bread wheat). RNAcentral's name for it is "partial small subunit ribosomal RNA". The record is from RNAcentral. Lineage: Eukaryota; Viridiplantae; Streptophyta; Magnoliopsida; Poales; Poaceae.